AUGCAACAAAACAAUGUUUUCAACCAUGUACGGCUGGCCACGAGCUUAUUUUUAAUGAACAUGAGGUUACAAGUAUAUUUUAAUUAUAGAAUAUCGAUAUUUUGCUUUGUUAGCCCAUGCAGAGGGCUUCACAGAGGGCUUUCGGCACCUGGCAGCUGCCGGCCAGGUGAUUCGCAGGAAGGCUGCUGGGAUGGGCUGAGACGGCGUCCCGCCGCGUCCUCCCGCGCUGAUGCUGCUUCACCGGCUCCUUGUUCCUCCCUUCCUCGCUGGAUGCCGAUGCAGCGGUGCGUCCGGUCAGCCUGCUGCCGGACGGAGGAGAUGCUGCAGGCUCAUCGAAACCGCAAUGCAAGCAACCACAGGCUGAAAAUCAGAGCUCAGGCUCAGGAAGAUCGUCCCGAGGCCAAGGACGGCAGGAGUGCCAGGACAGCCUCAGGCUGCGGACCGGACCGCGAGGGACUUUGGCUGGCCGGUCCUCCCGCCUGGGCAACCCAGGCCGUCAGCAGCGACCUCCGCGGACGGAGCAGGUUACAUAGCCAACAACACUCUUUAUUUCAAGUCCAACUGGGUUUGCAAGGCACGCUUCAAACCAUCGGCAGCAACCAUCACCAUCACUGUGCAAAGCCUAUUUGUGGGACGAGGAGCAACGCCACUGCAGCCCCACCGGGACCUGCUAAGUUGGAAGCUCUUCCCUUAGCGCUUUCCGACCUGCUCCAAAGGGCCCAGCUACUUGUAAGGCCUCCAACAGUGGCAACUAAAGAAACAAAUCCGUGGUCAGGAAACUUGAAUUCAGCACAGAGGAGUCCCCACUGCUAACGGAAACGUCCAAAAAAGAAAGAAAAUCGAAAAUUACUCUAGGCGCUAGACCGCCAAUGCAAAGCUAACAUUUUGCUCUACGCUCCUGAUGAGAAACUUGCCCCUUCUUGGUGGAAAGCCUUGUAGACCGUUACUUUGCUCCACCAGCCCGUCCAUAAAACCGGCAGCUACAGAAGAGAGAAAGGCCAGACGCGCGGGCGGAUUUCAUCGGGACGGCGACGACGUCCAUGACCCUCUCCUAACCCUCCGAGUCCAAGCCCGGAUUGCUUAGAAACUCGUCUUCUCGACCGAGUCUCAUCUUGCUCGGGUAAAAGGUCUGCUGAAGAGCUUGAGCCGAAAACGAGCAGCCGACGGAAGCC
This 1172-nucleotide long non-coding RNA is filed under the name Struthio camelus australis. RNAcentral's name for it is "lncRNA (ENSSCUG00000007300.1)". The record is from RNAcentral. Lineage: Eukaryota; Metazoa; Chordata; Aves; Struthioniformes; Struthionidae.